Molecule: ribosomal RNA, 1522 nt
Filed under: Escherichia coli
Lineage: Bacteria; Pseudomonadati; Pseudomonadota; Gammaproteobacteria; Enterobacterales; Enterobacteriaceae
Description: bacterial SSU rRNA
Rfam family: Bacterial small subunit ribosomal RNA
Source: RNAcentral
AGAGUUUGAUCAUGGCUCAGAUUGAACGCUGGCGGCAGGCCUAACACAUGCAAGUCGAACGGUAACAGGAAGCAGCUUGCUGCUUCUCUGACGAGUGGCGGACGGGUGAGUAAUGUCUGGGAAACUGCCUGAUGGAGGGGGAUAACUACUGGAAACGGUAGCUAAUACCGCAUAACGUCGCAAGACCAAAGAGGGGGACCUUCGGGCCUCUUGCCAUCGGAUGUGCCCAGAUGGGAUUAGCUUGUUGGUGGGGUAACGGCUCACCAAGGCGACGAUCCCUAGCUGGUCUGAGAGGAUGACCAGCCACACUGGAACUGAGACACGGUCCAGACUCCUACGGGAGGCAGCAGUGGGGAAUAUUGCACAAUGGGCGCAAGCCUGAUGCAGCCAUGCCGCGUGUAUGAAGAAGGCCUUCGGGUUGUAAAGUACUUUCAGCGGGGAGGAAGGGAGUAAAGUUAAUACCUUUGCUCAUUGACGUUACCCGCAGAAGAAGCACCGGCUAACUCCGUGCCAGCAGCCGCGGUAAUACGGAGGGUGCAAGCGUUAAUCGGAAUUACUGGGCGUAAAGCGCACGCAGGCGGUUUGUUAAGUCAGAUGUGAAAUCCCCGGGCUCAACCUGGGAACUGCAUCUGAUACUGGCAAGCUUGAGUCUCGUAGAGGGGGGUAGAAUUCCAGGUGUAGCGGUGAAAUGCGUAGAGAUCUGGAGGAAUACCGGUGGCGAAGGCGGCCCCCUGGACGAAGACUGACGCUCAGGUGCGAAAGCGUGGGGAGCAAACAGGAUUAGAUACCCUGGUAGUCCACGCCGUAAACGAUGUCGACUUGGAGGUUGUGCCCUUGAGGCGUGGCUUCCGGAGCUAACGCGUUAAGUCGACCGCCUGGGGAGUACGGCCGCAAGGUUAAAACUCAAAUGAAUUGACGGGGGCCCGCACAAGCGGUGGAGCAUGUGGUUUAAUUCGAUGCAACGCGAAGAACCUUACCUGGUCUUGACAUCCACGGAAGUUUUCAGAGAUGAGAAUGUGCCUUCGGGAACCGUGAGACAGGUGCUGCAUGGCUGUCGUCAGCUCGUGUUGUGAAAUGUUGGGUUAAGUCCCGCAACGAGCGCAACCCUUAUCCUUUGUUGCCAGCGGUCCGGCCGGGAACUCAAAGGAGACUGCCAGUGAUAAACUGGAGGAAGGUGGGGAUGACGUCAAGUCAUCAUGGCCCUUACGACCAGGGCUACACACGUGCUACAAUGGCGCAUACAAAGAGAAGCGACCUCGCGAGAGCAAGCGGACCUCAUAAAGUGCGUCGUAGUCCGGAUUGGAGUCUGCAACUCGACUCCAUGAAGUCGGAAUCGCUAGUAAUCGUGGAUCAGAAUGCCACGGUGAAUACGUUCCCGGGCCUUGUACACACCGCCCGUCACACCAUGGGAGUGGGUUGCAAAAGAAGUAGGUAGCUUAACCUUCGGGAGGGCGCUUACCACUUUGUGAUUCAUGACUGGGGUGAAGUCGUAACAAGGUAACCGUAGGGGAACCUGCGGUUG